AUCCUGGCUCAGAUUGAACGCUGGCGGCAGGCCUAACACAUGCAAGUCGAGCGAGAAAGGUCUUCGGACUGAGUACAGCGGCGGACGGGUGAGUAAUGCGCAGGAAUCUACCUGGUAGUGGGGGAUAACUCGGGGAAACUCGAACUAAUACCGCAUACCGCCCUACGGGGGAAAGCGGGGGACCUUCGGGCCUCGCGCUAUCAGAUGAGCCUGCGUAGGAUUAGCUUGUUGGUGAGGUAAAGGCUCACCAAGGCGACGAUCCUUAGCUGGUCUGAGAGGAUGAUCAGCCACACUGGAACUGAGACACGGUCCAGACUCCUACGGGAGGCAGCAGUGGGGAAUAUUGCGCAAUGGGCGAAAGCCUGACGCAGCCAUGCCGCGUGUGUGAAGAAGGCCCUUGGGUUGUAAAGCACUUUCAAUUGGGAAGAAAGGUUGCGUGUUAAUAGCACGUAGCUGUGACGUUACCUUUAGAAGAAGCACCGGCUAACUCCGUG
This 494-nucleotide ribosomal RNA is filed under the name uncultured bacterium. RNAcentral's name for it is "bacterial SSU rRNA". It matches the Rfam family "Bacterial small subunit ribosomal RNA", at positions 16 to 507 of the family's 1533-position model. The record is from RNAcentral.